AGUCGAGCGGUAACAGGAAUUAGCUUGCUAAUUUGCUGACGAGCGGCGGACGGGUGAGUAACGCGUAGGAAUCUGCCUGGUAGUGGGGGACAACAUGUGGAAACGCAUGCUAAUACCGCAUACGCCCUACGGGGGAAAGGAGGGGAUCUUCGGACCUUUCGCUAUCAGAUGAGCCUGCGUGAGAUUAGCUAGUUGGUGGGGUAAAGGCUCACCAAGGCGACGAUCUCUAGCUGGUCUGAGAGGAUGAUCAGCCACACUGGGACUGAGACACGGCCCAGACUCCUACGGGAGGCAGCAGUGGGGAAUAUUGGACAAUGGGCGCAAGCCUGAUCCAGCCAUGCCGCGUGUGUGAAGAAGGCCUUCGGGUUGUAAAGCACUUUCAGAGGUGAGGAAGGGUGUGUAGUUAAUACCUACAUAUCUUGACGUUAGCCUCAGAAGAAGCACCGGCUAACUCUGUGCCAGCAGCCGCGGUAAUACAGAGGGUGCGAGCGUUAAUCGGAAUUACUGGGCGUAAAGCGCGCGUAGGUGGUUUGUUAAGUCGGAUGUGAAAGCCCAGGGCUCAACCUUGGAAUUGCACCCGAUACUGGCAAGCUAGAGUACGGUAGAGGGGUGUGGAAUUUCCUGUGUAGCAGUGAAAUGCGUAGAUAUAUGAAGGAACAUCAGUGGCGAA
This 670-nucleotide ribosomal RNA is filed under the name uncultured Oceanospirillaceae bacterium. RNAcentral's name for it is "bacterial SSU rRNA". It matches the Rfam family "Bacterial small subunit ribosomal RNA", at positions 60 to 719 of the family's 1533-position model. The record is from RNAcentral. Lineage: Bacteria; Pseudomonadati; Pseudomonadota; Gammaproteobacteria; Oceanospirillales; Oceanospirillaceae.